Molecule: non-coding RNA, 54 nt
Organism: Salmo salar (Atlantic salmon)
Lineage: Eukaryota; Metazoa; Chordata; Actinopteri; Salmoniformes; Salmonidae
Source: Rfam
UGCAUUAACUACUGUAAGUCGCUCUGGAUAUGAGCGUCUGCUAAAUGACUAAAA